Molecule: ribosomal RNA, 614 nt
Filed under: uncultured Hymenoscyphus
Lineage: Eukaryota; Fungi; Ascomycota; Leotiomycetes; Helotiales; Helotiaceae
Description: eukaryotic LSU rRNA
Rfam family: Eukaryotic large subunit ribosomal RNA
Source: RNAcentral
GCAUAUCAAUAAGCGGAGGAAAAGAAACCAACAGGGAUUGCCUCAGUAACGGCGAGUGAAGCGGCAACAGCUCAAAUUUGAAAUCUGGCUCUUUCAGGGUCCGAGUUGUAAUUUGUAGAAGAUGCUUUGGGUGUGGCUCCGGUCUAAGUUCCUUGGAACAGGACGUCAUAGAGGGUGAGAAUCCCGUAUGUGAUUGGGGCCUUCGCUCGUGUAAAGCUCUUUCGACGAGUCGAGUUGUUUGGGAAUGCAGCUCAAAAUGGGUGGUAAAUUUCAUCUAAAGCUAAAUAUUGGCCAGAGACCGAUAGCGCACAAGUAGAGUGAUCGAAAGAUGAAAAGCACUUUGGAAAGAGAGUUAAACAGUACGUGAAAUUGUUGAAAGGGAAGCGCUUGCAACCAGACUUGCACGCUGUUGAUCAUCCGAGGUUCUCCCCGGUGCACUCAGCAGUGUUCAGGCCAGCAUCGGUUCCGGUGGGCGGAUAAAGGCCUUGGGAAUGUGGCUCCUCUCGGGGAGUGUUAUAGCCCUCGGUGCAAUGCGCCCUACUGGGACCGAGGACCGCGCUUCGGCUAGGAUGCUGGCGUAAUGGUUGUAAGCGACCCGUCUUGAAACACGGACC